Molecule: ribosomal RNA, 298 nt
Filed under: uncultured Deinococcus sp.
Lineage: Bacteria; Thermotogati; Deinococcota; Deinococci; Deinococcales; Deinococcaceae
Description: partial 16S ribosomal RNA
Rfam family: Bacterial small subunit ribosomal RNA
Source: RNAcentral
UAGUGAGUUUGAUCCUGGCUCAGGGUGAACGCUGGCGGCGUGCUUAAGACAUGCAAGUCGAACGGCAGUCUUCGGACUGUAGUGGCGCACGGGUGAGUAACGCGUAACUGACCUACCCCAAAGUCGCGGAUAACGGUUCGAAAGAAUCGCUAAUACGUGAUGUGCUGCUCCCUCCUGUGGGAUCAGUAAAGAUUUAUUGCUUUGGGAUGGGGUUGCGUUCCAUCAGCUAGUUGGUAGGGUAAAGGCCUACCAAGGCGACGACGGAUAGCCGGCCUGAGAGGGUGGCCGGCCACAGGGG